UGAGAAGUAUAAAAGAGGAGAGUGCUUAAUCACGGCGUAGCUAGUCAUUUUCAUUGGGUUUUAGGGGACAGACCUCUCUCCUCUCAACUUCCGGUGAUGUAGUUCUUAGGCUUUAGUUGCUGUCUUCCACAGCGUCUCAAUUUCCCCAAUUACUUGGAUAAACCCUGGUUGUACAUCAUGCAGAGAAAAUUGGGACGCAGACUUUGGGUUUCUGAAUCUGUAUUUGCUGCAUCUUCAUUUUGUCCCUAAUGACAAAUUAAAAGGGGAUAUCUAUCAAUAUGGAAUAAGAAAUAUGGAAUCUGGUCUUUCAAAGAAAUCCUAUACCAGAGAUAAGUAUUAGGGAGCAGAACACCAUUUAUCGUCCCAGAUUUUACGAUGCGAUUCAACCAAUUCUUUAAGAAAUCUUUCAAAAUUAACCCUAAUCUGAUUAAUUGUAACCUGCACAUAAACAAAUCUACACAAACACACACAACACACGUUACACAAAGUUGAUUACACACAAACACAACAUUUGUCACAUUCUCCACAAACAUAAACACAAUUCACCACCCAGUCACACUUAUUUGCACAUCUCAGCAAAACACACGCAGCCAUUAUUUAUAUUAAAUUACACUAAAACGUAU
Molecule: long non-coding RNA, 623 nt
Organism: Folsomia candida
Lineage: Eukaryota; Metazoa; Arthropoda; Collembola; Entomobryomorpha; Isotomidae
Exons: 3
Source: RefSeq, a predicted model, not a curated record